GCGGGGGCUAUACAUGCAGUCGAGCGGACUUUAAAAGCUUGCUUUUAAAGUUAGCGGCGGACGGGUGAGUAACACGUGGGCAACCUGCCUGUAAGACUGGGAUAACUUCGGGAAACCGGAGCUAAUACCGGAUAAUCCUUUUCCUCUCAUGAGGAAAAGCUGAAAGACGGCAUCUCGCUGUCACUUACAGAUGGGCCCGCGGCGCAUUACCUAGUUGGUGAGGUAACGGCUCACCAAGGCAACGAUGCGUACCCAACCUGAAAGGGUGAUCGGCCACACUGGGACUGAAACACGGCCCAAACUCCUACGGGAGGCAGCAGUAGGGAAUCUUCCGCAAUGGACAAAAGUCUGACGGACCAACGCCGCGUGAGUGAUGAAGGUUUUCGGAUCGUAAAGCUCUGUUGUUAGGGAAAAACAAGUACAAAAGUAACUGCUUGUACCUUGACGGUACCUAACCAAAAAGCCACGGCUAACUACGUGCCACCCGCCCGGGGUAAUAC
This 500-nucleotide ribosomal RNA is filed under the name Niallia circulans. RNAcentral describes it as "bacterial SSU rRNA". It matches the Rfam family "Bacterial small subunit ribosomal RNA", at positions 42 to 526 of the family's 1533-position model. The record is from RNAcentral. Lineage: Bacteria; Bacillati; Bacillota; Bacilli; Caryophanales; Bacillaceae.